GAUGAACGCUGGCGGCGUGCUUAACACAUGCAAGUCGAACGGGAAACCUUUUAUUGAAGCUUCGGCAGAUUUAGCUGGUUUCUAGUGGCGGACGGGUGAGUAACGCGUGGGUAACCUGCCUUAUACAGGGGGAUAACAGUCAGAAAUGGCUGCUAAUACCGCAUAAGCGCACAGAGCUGCAUGGCUCAGUGUGAACAACUCCGGUGGUAUAAGAUGGACCCGCGUUGGAUUAGCUGGUUGGUGGGGUAACGGCCCACCAAGGCGACGAUCCAUAGCCGGCCUGAGAGGGUGAACGGCCACAUUGAGACUGAGACACGGCCCAGACUCCUACGGGAGGCAGCAGUGGGGAAUAUUGCACAAUGGGGGAAACCCUGAUGCAGCGACGCCGCGUGAAGGAAGAAGUAUCUCGGUAUGUAAACUUCUAUCAGCAGGGAAGAUAAUGACGGUACCUGACUAAGAAGCCCCGGCUAACUACGUG
RNAcentral lists this ribosomal RNA (478 nucleotides) under uncultured bacterium. Its description in RNAcentral is "partial 16S ribosomal RNA". It matches the Rfam family "Bacterial small subunit ribosomal RNA", at positions 28 to 507 of the family's 1533-position model. The record is from RNAcentral.